RNAcentral lists this long non-coding RNA (495 nucleotides) under Eucalyptus grandis. RNAcentral describes it as "long non-coding RNA (EGRA_LNC004763)". Lineage: Eukaryota; Viridiplantae; Streptophyta; Magnoliopsida; Myrtales; Myrtaceae. The record is from RNAcentral.
GCUGUCCGCGAUUCUGCUUCCCCGGUCAACCGUCGAAGACCACAACAAGCACCGAAACCAUUUUGUUGACUGAAGCUCCUCACCGCUUCGUGCGUCCAGCGAAGCAGCGUCCGCGAGCAGCUUCCGUCUUCAAUCUUCUCCAGCACGUCGACCCAGCGAAGCCACGAAGUCUUGGACUGCUAAAACAUUGAAGAAACUCCAGUGCACGAAGACCAAAGCUGCUGCUCGCUCAGCUCAUGUCUUCAGCUGAAGCCGCGCUCGAAUCCAGCUACCAGGCGCCCUUCGCUCGGUCAACGAAGCAGCGAGUUCUCAGCUGGACGCCUCCGUGUUGACCCUGCAGCUCACACCUGCUGUUCCAUUUUCGUGAUGCCAUCUCCAGCAGCCCAGCGAAUUCCAGGCCCAGUCGUCCGUGUAUCUUCAGCCCAAGACUAGAUUCCACGCCCAGCAAAGCCCAUCUCCAGUUGAGCUUGCAUCAGCCCAUCUGCAGAGGCAUUU